AAAAGCUACAGAUCAGACCACCAUAACUAUAGAUUCUGUAUCCAGCUACAAGUCCAGGCAGAAGCCCUUGUUGCUCAUAAAGAACAUUUUCCUGCAGGUGUAAAAGGAAGGAUUUUGAUGACCACGCCGUGAAAACUGUCUUCCAGUAUUACUGAGCGUUGAUCUCAGAGGACGACAACAUUCCCAACAAACUGCAAGAACAAGCUCAUCAAGUUUGUGGAAACGUUAUUUAUUCAAGUGAUUCAGCAUCUUAUUUCCCUCGAGCAAUGACUAAUGAGAUCUGUUUCUGUUCUGAAACUCCACUACACCUGGCAUUAACAUGCAUCCUUGGUGAUCAGACGAUGUUUAAGUAGAGCAUAAACACAUAGAAACUGGGUGCAAUCAUAUAAAACUAGCCACAUUAGCCUUAGAUGUGCUUUGUGUUCAGUGCCAAUAAGUGAGUAGUAACAUGCUAGCCCACUUAUUUCAGAUGCAGAACAUUUUAAACAUUACACCUGAUUACACCUGAUUAACUGUUGGUGAGUUAACUGAGUCAUCACUCCGAUCAGCAGAUUUACUGAGAAGCGAUCGGUCCUUUACCUUUAAGUAACUUUUCAAACUUUUGAGGGCUGCAGCUUAUAACAGCUGACUCAUUUAUUUCUCUUAUCUUUAAUCUGAUGUCUGAAGUUAACAACCCAAAUGGCCAUUCAGUGACUCCAGUUAACAGGAUCAGACACCACUUCUCACUCAGAUGAGGCCACCACCCUCCACUGUUCACCUCUGCAUACAAGCAUCAUUUCUUUGCUGCCCGCAGCCUAAACCAGUGCCAAACCAAACGGGUGAGAAGAUGUCUGGAAUGUGUCUCGCUGUUGUCAAAUGUUGGGCAGGGAUGUAAAUGAAUGGCUGCCCUUGGGUAUGCGCCUCUCACACAUCCAGAUAACCAUCAGCAGUCGUUCCCUUCCCCUCAUGUUUUCUUUGCUAUGAUCACACACGGGCUGUUUUGCCACUUGUUGGCUGAGCAUACAACAAUAAUGGCUGCCUUUAUCAGAUGGAUGAUUACUUGACCCUGAACAAAGCAGACCACACACUCUCCCACAGGUAAACACACACACACACACACACACAAAUGUAUAUACCUGCCGAUGGUGGAAACACAUAAUAAUUGAAAACUUUGUUCUUCCAUUUGAAUGGUUCGAUCAGCAAGAAGCUGUUAUGCUGCAUCUUAAUCAGCGUCGCAUUUAGCAGACAGUCGAGUGAGCCUGUUCAGUCUCCUGUUCAAGGACACUGGCAGGACUCGUGGCUGCUGCUGGUCUCACACUCCUCUAUUAUUUGUGUUGUUAUGAAAGCAUUGUUUCAUAUUCGUGCUGUGUGACUUUAUUACACAAAUAUGGUGAAAAAAGGGGCAUAUUUCUAUCAUAAGUACGAUAAAUAAUCCUUAAAUGGCAGGAUUUUAUUUGUUUUUAGUUCUUUUUGCACUGCUGAGUCUGCUGUUAUAAGCCUAUUUGUGAUGUAAAAGUUUCUGAUGAAGACAAAACUGUCUUUAUGAGGAAAAUAUCAGCAUUUGUUGUUUUUUUCUGUGCAUCACAUUCAAAGCUUCUUCUGAGGUCUUCAAAUAAUAACUUGAAUCUCUGUUAAAAAAAUGGAAAUCCUCAAACUAAAUCUUGAAUUUGAAGGGAUAAAUUAAGUCUUUUUAAACGAUUAUUAUUACUAAAUCCCUUUGUGUGCAAUAAGUGGGAGAACAAACUGUUUCUUAACAGCCACAAAAAAAAUCGUUUUUUAAAGGAAACAUGCAACAAAUCUGCAUUAAAGCAGAUACAACAUUAGGUCUGAAACAACAUGAAACAAUCAAACACUAAUAUAGCGGGUUUAAAGACAGAAGACCUGCAGAGCAUUUGCAGCAUUUGAACGUGGAUUUAGAAUUUGAAUGUCUGCAUUAUGAAUGAAGAUCAAACUACUGUAUUUGAUGCAGCCCUGAUAGCAGUGGGAGAACGUUUAGACUGAAAUAGCUCCGUUGUUGUUGCUGUUAUUGGCACCACAAAACCCUCGAAAGAAAUUCUGUGACUUCCGCCCAUUUCCCAUUUCCUCCUCACAAGAAUGUGCUUUCAUUCCCAUGCUUCUGUGGCAAAAAUACCAGUAUCACUAAAUGGGGGCUCCAGUGUCCUGUACACAACAAAUGUUGUCACUAUUAAAUAAUGCUGGUUGUUGCCAGGAACAAAAAUGCAGUAUGGCAUUUAAUAAUACUGGUUGUUAUCCUGAUAUGAAUCAUUUGUGCUCACCUGCUGUUGUCAGUUCAUUGCAUGUGUGACUGCUCGUGGGAUUCAGCCGCUCGUUGCGCUGCUUUCUGCAUGCUUGAGAUCACGCUACCCGCACAGACAUGUUUGUGUGCACUUUUCAUACCCCUUCACAGAUAAGAGCACCCUUAUUGAUGUUUCGAGGGCAUGCACUAAUGUGGGCGCACUCAAACAACAACCUGAACAUCUUUAGAGAAUGUGAGGGCAGGGAAACCAAGAGCAGAGCAGCCACAGUGGAAUUCAAAAACAAGGAGAUGCUGUGAACAAAGAAAACCAUCUUACAUAUCGCAUUGACAUGACAGAGUGCCUUAAUAUGCAAAUUAGACCCAUUUCAAAAGUUCACAUGUAUAGUCAGCAUUUCUUUUCAAUGACUUCCAGGUGAUGUGACCCAUAGCAAAAAAAAACAAACAAAAAAAAACAUGAUUCUGUCUCCAUCAGAAUCGUUUUAGUAACAUCAACCUCAGCCUGUCAGUGGUAAAAACAAGCCAGUGCACAUAAUCUUGACAGUUGGACUGACCAGUGGAUUACGUUGCAGCCAUUUGCAGACAGCGAUCUGCUGGAAGACGUGGCCGAGGUUUAAAAUCACCAGGAUUACCCUUUGAGCAUGCAGUAGUCAUGUCUGUGUCUGCCCUCUCCUCUGAAUGUAUAAGAAAUAAAGACUAAAUACAUGUAUAAAAAA
Molecule: long non-coding RNA, 2949 nt
Organism: Acanthopagrus latus (yellowfin seabream)
Lineage: Eukaryota; Metazoa; Chordata; Actinopteri; Spariformes; Sparidae
Exons: 3
Source: RefSeq, a predicted model, not a curated record